AAAUUGAAGAGUUUGAUCAUGGCUCAGAUUGAACGCUGGCGGCAGGCCUAACACAUGCAAGUCGAACGGUAACAGGAAGCAGCUUGCUGCUUCGCUGACGAGUGGCGGACGGGUGAGUAAUGUCUGGGAAACUGCCUGAUGGAGGGGGAUAACUACCGGAAACGGUGGCUAAUACCGCAUAACGUCGCAAGACCAAAGAGGGGGACCUUCGGGCCUCUUGCCAUCAGAUGUGCCCAGAUGGGAUUAGCUUGUUGGUGAGGUAACGGCUCACCAAGGCGACGAUCCCUAGCUGGUCUGAGAGGAUGACCAGCCACACUGGAACUGAGACACGGUCCAGACUCCUACGGGAGGCAGCAGUGGGGAAUAUUGCACAAUGGGCGCAAGCCUGAUGCAGCCAUGCCGCGUGUAUGAAGAAGGCCUUCGGGUUGUAAAGUACUUUCAGCGGGGAGGAAGGUGUUG
This 459-nucleotide ribosomal RNA is filed under the name Salmonella enterica. RNAcentral describes it as "bacterial SSU rRNA". It matches the Rfam family "Bacterial small subunit ribosomal RNA", at positions 1 to 456 of the family's 1533-position model. The record is from RNAcentral. Lineage: Bacteria; Pseudomonadati; Pseudomonadota; Gammaproteobacteria; Enterobacterales; Enterobacteriaceae. RNAcentral also lists the same sequence under 1 other name.